AGAAUAGAUAAAAAUUAGUUGGGUUACAAAAUGAAUAGAUUUUGAAACAAAAAUAGAUUUUUUAAAAAAGUCAAAUAGAACAUUUGCAGAAUGGCUAAAAGAAUUAGAAUAAUCUUAUUUAUUCAUUUAAUAUGGCCAACAAUAAUAUUUAUUCGCUGCGUAAAAAUAGGAGUAAUAUUGGAUAGAACGAACAAUCGAUUUAGUUUUGACAGAAUAGAAGAUGUAUUAGAAAUUGGACGUCUUGAGGUAAUAGACCGUUAUGGAAUACAUUUUGAUUUUAUUAAAAGAAUAUCGAACGUAUCUGAAUGUGGUAGCAAAGAAGUAAUUCUAAAAACUGCAGAAUUGUAUAAAAAACAUAAUAUAACGAUAUUUAUUGGACCUAGUUGCUCUGAUGAACUUUUUUAUACAGCUCCACUAAUAUCAGGAGCUGAUCUUCUUCAAAUUACAGCUGUAGGAUUAACUAUAGAUAGAUCUAUAGCAAAUAUAUAUGAAAAUACAAUAAGACUCUCGGGAAAUAUAAAAAUUAGCUCUUACCGUCAAUUUAUAACUAUUCUAUUAAAUAAAUACAAUUGGCAUAAAAUCAUUCUUUUAUACGAAACUACCAAUUCAGAAUUUAGAAUAAAAGCUGAAGAGAUCUUUGAAAAUCUAGAUUCGAAUGUUUCGUAUAACGUUACUCUUAUAAAGAUUAACUCUUUUGAUAAUAAUACAUUACAAGAUUUUAUGUUAAAUCUACAAACUAAAGGAAGGAUAUUUUUUCUAUUUUUCUCUUUUAAAAAUGAAGUAAAAUUUAUGAAAUUCGCUUAUAAAUCAAUGAUGACGUCAUCGUCGUAUGUGUACAUAGCUUUCCAUUCGGACGAUGAAAUUGAAGAAAUGGAUAUUUUUAACAAGGUUAAUUCUAAUGCAAAUGCUUUUAGGCAAUAUUUUUAUGUUAGAUAUCAAAAUCCAAAUAAUACUGUCUGGAAUAACUUUAAGAAGAUUGUAAGACACCAUAAACCAGAUUAUACAUUAUUUGAAAGGAAUAUUUGGCAGUUAUUAUAUUUAGAAAGUGUCCUUGUAUUAGGAUACGUUCUUGAUAGAUGCGAAGAUUGUCGUCUUUCAAAAAGAAUAAAAGGUUCAACCAUUUUGAAUUUACUAAGGGGAAGGAAGAUAUUUCUACAUGAUUUUAAUGAUAUAAAAUUUGACAAAAAUGUUGAUAAAUCGUUAGGUUUAGAAUUUAUGCAAUAUGAUGUAAUUAAGAAGAAAUAUAUUCCAUUAUUUAGUUAUAACACGAAUUUCGGAAAGCAUCAAUUUAUACCUGAUAUAAGUUGGAUAGCUGGCAGUAUACCAUUAGACGAACCUGAAUGUGGCUUUGGCAGAGAUUGCUCAUUUUCUAUUUUAGAAAAUUUUAGUAUUUACUUUAUAUUGCUGAUAGUCUUAUUGUUUUUAGUAAUACCCAUAAUUGUACGAACGAUAGUAUAUUAUAGGUUUAGGCUUGUUAGGGAAUCGGAAGAUAAUAGUUAUUUCAUAGAUUGGCUUCAAGUUCAAGCUGUUAACGAAUAUAAUGAAGAUACAAACUCAACAAAGUCUUCUUUAAACUCUUGUUCUAGAUCGCAAACUAGCAGCAAAAAAUUGGGAUACGAUUUGGACGAAGAUAAAAUUCUAUCCAUUUUCUCAACAGACUCUUUCAAACAGUCACAUACGGUUAUUUACAAGCAAAACAGAGUGUUUGUCAAACGCUUAGAAAACAUUGGUAUUACAUUUUCGAAAACUGUACAAGAAGAUCUUAAGGCUAGACGUCAGAUUGAUCAUAAUAACUUGAUCGAAUUUAUUUCAAUAUCGAUUCUAUCCAAUUAUGUGUUUCUUUUCGAAGAAUUUUGCUCAAGGGGUAACCUUCAAAAUCUUAUUUUGUCACAUGAUUUUGCCUUAGAGCAAUCAUUAAGAUAUGAACUAAUGAAAGAUAUUACUAAUGGCAUGAUUUAUUUGCAUAAAAGUCCAAUCAAAAUACACGGCUUUUUAACAUCAAAGAGUUGUGUAAUAAAUAGUAGAAUGAUAUUAAAAAUAACAGAUUUUGGUCUCAAUAGUCUGAGAGAAAUUGACGGUUACGAUCCACAUCCGUCAACGUUAUUAUGGACUGCACCAGAAGUCCUACGAGAACAUUCUGCAAUUAGUCAAGCGGCGGACGUAUAUAGUUUUGGUAUAAUUUUACAAGAACUAAUUUCGCAAAGUAAACCCUUUUACGAGCAAUUCCCUCCUGAGACAAUUGUUGAAUUAGUAAAAAGUUCUUCAGAGGUUUCAUAUAGACCAAAAUGUGCGGUCAUAUGUCCUCAAGAUUUGUUUACUCUAAUGACUAAUUGUUGGAAUGAAGAUUACGAUAUCAGACCCAAUUUUCAGGUAGCUAAGGAUAUUUUAAAUAGUAUAGAGAUAUCGAAAAAGACGUAUAUCGAUAAUCUUAUGGCCAGAUUGCAAAUGUAUGCAAAAAAUUUAGAAAUAUUAGUGGAAGAGAGAAUGGAAGAGGUUAAAGGAGAGAAAGAUAGAUCAGAUGAAAUUUUGCAUAUGAUGCUGCCUAAAUCGAUUGCUAGAGAUUUGAAAAAUGGUAAAAGAGUCCGUCCAGCAAAGUACGAUUGCGUUACAAUAUUAUUUAGCGAUAUUGUUGGUUUUACUGAAUUAUGUGCGAAAUCAACACCAUUCGAUGUUUUAGAAUUUCUUAAUUCAUUAUAUGAAUCAUUUGAUGCUAUAUUAGAUCAGAGAGACGUUUUUAAAGUAGCAACAAUCGGAGACGCCUUUAUGGUUGCUUCAGGUCUACCUAUUCGAAACGGCAGUACGCACGCAAUUGAAAUUGCUUAUACGGCUUUACUCUUUAUCUCUUCAACGAAAGGGAUUAAUUAAAGAAUUGCUAAACGCCAAUAAUAAUUGACAUUUGAGAGGUUAUUUUCUUUAAUUAAUUCCUCGAAUUCUUUUUAUAUUUUGAAAAGGAUUUAAAUUAAAUCAUAUGCCCGAUUACAAACUCCUCGUCAGAAUUGGUAUUCAUUCAGGACCAUGCGUUGCUGGCGUUGUUGGCCAGAUAAUGCCUAGAUAUUGCGUUUUCGGAGAAACUGUAAACAUUGCCAAUGAAAUGGAGAGCUUGAGUAAACCAAUGAAAAUUCAAUUAAGCGAGAAUACUGAAUCAUUUUUGCGUAAUCGUCAAGAGUUUGUCCUCAUUCCGAGAGGAAAAAUACAAUUAAAAAAGAAAAAAGCCCAAAUAAAUACGUUUUUUCUAGAAAAUGCCGCCUCACCAAAACAGUCACUACCUUGCUAAAAUGCAAAUGAAAAAGAUACAAUCUAUGCGAAGCAUUUAACUUAAUUAUAGAUGAAUAUUUAUACUGUUUAAAUUAGUUAAUUACAAUAAGAUAAUUACUAUUAUAUUUGAAUUAUUUGAAUAUUUAAUGAAACAUUUACCUUCAAGUAUAUAUUUACAUCAAGUUAUAUAUAAAUGGUUUCUAUAAUUUUCUAAUAUUUCAUUAUUAACGAGAUACGAUAGAAAACAAGUAAAAAAACUGAUAGGAGAAAUAGAAAGGAAUAACAGAGGGGUAAAGGAGACUUGGAGAGGAGGGAAAAAGCUUACAUUCGAGUAUUUUUACACAACAAAUGUAAUAGAAAUGGAGGAAAACGGUUUUUCUUUUAUACUUAAAAAUGAAAAAUGAUUAGAAUGAAUAGCUUUUCAUAGAUUUGCCAUUCAAAAAUGAGUUAUGUCUUACAAGUGUUAUACUGUUUGUAAGGAAAAAAUAUAGGAAAGGAAUGCUUGCAAAUCUUUUCAUUUCUCUUGAUUUCUCAUGCUCCUUCUGUUUUCUUUAUUCUUUUCUCUUUUUGUAGUUUUUUAUUAAUGUUUCUUUUUUUUUCUAUUGAAAAGAUUCCUGUAAUGAAGUAAGGGCGUUUGGCGGUGUUGAUAUUCUAUUUAUAUCGUUCCUCUUCCUACGUUCAAACAUUUUUUUAAUUGCUUUUCGAAAAGCGGGAAAUUUUGCUGCGAAGAGGAAAGGAUUGAGACUAGAAUUGAAGACGAACAGGUUCUGGAAUGCCCUUGACACCCAAGGUGGAACGUCGUUCAGUUGAGGAUCUAUUAAAUAGUGAAGAUUUAAAGGUAACCAACAAAUGAGAAAAGCCAAGAAGAGGAGAGAUAGACGUUGACAAGCCUUUAUAAACCUUCUCCUGGAUGUUGAUCCGCGAUUGGCCAUUCGUACUUGAACAUUUGAAUAUAUUAUAUAAUAACAAACACCCGUUGCUACUAUAGGCAAGACGAGAAAACAAAUAGUUGUAUAUGAAGCAUAAAAAAACCAGUGGCUCUUCUUACUCUUCCAAUAUGAUGGAGUGCAAUAGGCAUAUAUCGAAUUGAAAGUAAUGUAAACAAAGCCCCCUAAUGGAGGCAAGAUUACUACGAAGAAGACGAUGAACCAAAUAAACAAUAAUAUCAAGUAGGUUAUCUUUGUGGAGGUGAUAUCUACACCGCAAAUGCUAUGUUUGUGAGACUUUGCCAAAGCGCAUCUAUUGACGGCAAUUGCAAGGUUAGUUAGAACACUUACACCGGCGUUUUGUCCCUGUAUAAGCGAUGUGACCUCGCAGCUGAAUAUCGAGAGUCUCCAAGCUCGGAAGAGGAAGGCAUGAAUUAGUAGAGGGCAAACAAUUAUACAUACAAGACCAUCAAUCACAGCCAAAUUUACUACCAAAAGGUGACAACGUUUUCGUAAGGCUGGUGUCACCACCGCCACUGCUAUUAUAACGACAUUGGUGAGUCCGCCAAUUAAACCAAUAAAGGUGAGUAUAGUUAUAACUAUCCAACGUUCCGGUUCGGAAAGUUGUUCAAUUUGUAGCGAACUGUUCAUCUGAUAGCAAUCUUUUAUUCUUUUCUCUAGUUUUCGUGCAACCCCUUAAAUUUUACUUUCAAUUCUUUUUAUUAUCCUCUAAAGCUUCUAUUCUGUAUUCAUAAAUACAAAAAAAAGCUUUUUAAUCUUUUUUGUCGAAAUUCUUAUUCCUUUGUUUUCUCCUUAAUAAGGCUUCCUCAUUUACGGAUGAUAAGAAGAAAUGUUCUUUUUUUUAACGACCUUCUUUUCCGUUUCCCUGGAUAUUAUCGAAUAUUAAUUGCGAUGUAAAUAUUAUAAAUGUCGUUAGAAAGCAAAUUUUUUAUCAAAUGCAGUAUAUAUGUAUGAUUAAUAGCAUUGUUCUAAAUUACACUUAUUUUUAACGUAGGCCUGGAUAUUUUUGCUGUGUGUAUACUGUAUAUGUAAACAAUAAAACAAUGCUUGUUUUAUUUGUAAAUAACUCUAGAUGAAAUAGGAAGAAAAUAGAAGAAAGUUAUAUAAAAAACACAGAGAAAUAUAUAAAUUUAUUAAUAUAAACGCUUAAUUUUCGGUUGCAGAAAAGUGUUUACGUUAUCUCCAUCAGUUGAAAAUGGUACUUUUGCAUUUGUUUGUAUAUUUUCCAUACAAUUACUAUAUUUUAUAUGUUUUUUUUAUUA
Molecule: unclassified non-coding RNA, 5464 nt
Filed under: Dimorphilus gyrociliatus
Lineage: Eukaryota; Metazoa; Annelida; Polychaeta; Dinophilidae
Description: guanylate cyclase
Source: RNAcentral